UGAGGAAUAUUGGUCAAUGGGCGCAAGCCUGAACCAGCCAAGUAGCGUGCAGGAUGACGGCCCUAUGGGUUGUAAACUGCUUUUAUGCGGGGAUAAAGUGAGGGACGUGUCCCUCAUUGCAGGUACCGCAUGAAUAAGGACCGGCUAAUUCCGUG
This 155-nucleotide ribosomal RNA is filed under the name uncultured bacterium. RNAcentral describes it as "partial 16S ribosomal RNA". It matches the Rfam family "Bacterial small subunit ribosomal RNA", at positions 355 to 507 of the family's 1533-position model. The record is from RNAcentral.